ACUUCGAAUGAAACAAUAACCCGAGUACCGGACCUGUAUUCCCUAUGUCGUUUCGGGUUACCUUCACUUCGGAUUUCCGGUCUAAUGAAAAAAAGUGCAGGGAGGGGAAAUCGUGAGCCGUUCUGCACUUGUACAUCAGCAAUUCCAUCUUUCGUCUGCUGAUGAUAUCCUAUCCAAUUCAGCAUAUGACCGCAAUUCAUCCCUCAAUCAUAUGAAUACAGGAUCGCAAUUGAUUUUAACAGUGCCGCAAAAGAAAAUCCUGGAUCAGCGUGCUGUGUAAAGUAGAUGUGUCAUGUGCGUCAUAAAGGGCACUCAUCAUCUUCAAGCUCGUAUAUCAUUUCUUCACAAACUGUUGUUGACACGUAAUUCGCUCUUUAGUGCUUAAUUCUCUCCAUCAACUUCAAGCUCGUAUGUCAUUUCAGUCAAAUUCUACAUGCUUUAACGGGUGAUUUUAUAGUUUACAUUACAAGCAUGUUCUUAAACCAUUUGGCCAAGUAAUUGUAUUUUUAACAAACAGUGCGUUUAGUGGGCUUUUGGAAGUCCUUGUAAUGUUUUAAACAUGUUUUUU
This 568-nucleotide long non-coding RNA is filed under the name Helianthus annuus (common sunflower). The record is from RNAcentral. Lineage: Eukaryota; Viridiplantae; Streptophyta; Magnoliopsida; Asterales; Asteraceae.